GACGAACGCUGGCGGCGUGCUUAACACGUGCAAGUCGAACGGAAAGGCCCUGCUUUUGUAGGGUGCUCGAGUGGCGAACGGGUGAGUAACACGUGAGUAACCUGCCCUUGACUUUGGGAUAACUUCAGGAAACUGGGGCUAAUACCGGAUAGGAGCUCCUGCUGCAUGGUGGGGGUUGGAAAGUUUCGGCGGUUGGGGAUGGACUCGCGGCUUAUCAGCUUGUUGGUGGGGUAGUGGCUUACCAAGGCUUUGACGGGUAGCCGGCCUGAGAGGGUGACCGGCCACAUUGGGACUGAGAUACGGCCCAGACUCCUACGGGAGGCAGCAGUGGGGAAUAUUGCACAAUGGGCGGAAGCCUGAUGCAGCAACGCCGCGUGCGGGAUGACGGCCUUCGGGUUGUAAACCGCUUUCGCCUGUGACGAAGCAUGAGUGACGGUAAUGGGUAAAGAAGCACCGGCUAACUACGUG
This 468-nucleotide ribosomal RNA is filed under the name uncultured bacterium. RNAcentral describes it as "partial 16S ribosomal RNA". It matches the Rfam family "Bacterial small subunit ribosomal RNA", at positions 28 to 507 of the family's 1533-position model. The record is from RNAcentral.